GAUGAACGCUGGUGGCGUGCCUAACACAUGCAAGUCGAGCGAUUCUCUUCGGAGAAGAGCGGCGGACGGGUGAGUAACGCGUGGGUAACCUGCCCUGUACACACGGAUAACAUACCGAAAGGUAUGCUAAUACGAGAUAACAUGCUUUUAUCGCAUGGUAGAAGUAUCAAAGCUUUUGCGGUACAGGAUGGACCCGCGUCUGAUUAGCUAGUUGGUGAGGUAACGGCUCACCAAGGCGACGAUCAGUAGCCGACCUGAGAGGGUGAUCGGCCACAUUGGAACUGAGACACGGUCCAAACUCCUACGGGAGGCAGCAGUGGGGAAUAUUGCACAAUGGGCGAAAGCCUGAUGCAGCAACGCCGCGUGAGCGAUGAAGGCCUUCGGGUCGUAAAGCUCUGUCCUCAAGGAAGAUAAUGACGGUACUUGAGGAGUAAGCCCCGGCUAACUACGUG
Molecule: ribosomal RNA, 452 nt
Filed under: uncultured bacterium
Lineage: Bacteria
Description: partial 16S ribosomal RNA
Rfam family: Bacterial small subunit ribosomal RNA
Source: RNAcentral